This 1103-nucleotide ribosomal RNA is filed under the name Eurotiomycetes sp. genotype 370. RNAcentral describes it as "eukaryotic LSU rRNA". The stretch from base 510 to 1103 matches the Rfam family "Eukaryotic large subunit ribosomal RNA", at positions 1 to 599 of the family's 3401-position model. The record is from RNAcentral. Lineage: Eukaryota; Fungi; Ascomycota; Eurotiomycetes.
GAUCAUUACCGAGUGAGGGCCCUCUGGGUCCAACCUCCCACCCGUGUUUAUCGUACCUUGUUGCUUCGGUGGGCCCGCCACUUGUGGCCGCCGGGGGGCACCUGCCCCCGGGCCCGCGCCCGCCGAAGACACCAUUGAACGCUGUAUGAAGAUUGCAGUCUGAGCUUAUUAGCUAAAUUAGUUAAAACUUUCAACAACGGAUCUCUUGGUUCCGGCAUCGAUGAAGAACGCAGCGAAAUGCGAUAAGUAAUGUGAAUUGCAGAAUUCAGUGAAUCAUCGAGUCUUUGAACGCACAUUGCGCCCCCUGGUAUUCCGGGGGGCAUGCCUGUCCGAGCGUCAUUGCUGCCCUCAAGCACGGCUUGUGUGUUGGGCCCCCGUCCCCCCCUCCCGGGGGACGGGCCCGAAAGGCAGCGGCGGCACCGCGUCCGGUCCUCGAGCGUAUGGGGCUUUGUCACCCGCUCUGUAGGCCCGGCCGGCGCCUGCCGACCACCAUCAAUCUUUUUUCAGGUUGACCUCGGAUCAGGUAGGGAUACCCGCUGAACUUAAGCAUAUCAAUAAGCGGAGGAAAAGAAACCAACAGGGAUUGCCCUAGUAACGGCGAGUGAAGCGGCAAGAGCUCAAAUUUGAAAGCUGGCUCCUUCGGGGUCCGCAUUGUAAUUUGCAGAGGAUGCUUCGGGAGCGGUCCCCGUCUAAGUGCCCUGGAACGGGCCGUCAUAGAGGGUGAGAAUCCCGUAUGGGACGGGGUGUCCGCGCCCGUGUGAAGCUCCUUCGACGAGUCGAGUUGUUUGGGAAUGCAGCUCUAAAUGGGUGGUAAAUUUCAUCUAAAGCUAAAUAUUGGCCGGAGACCGAUAGCGCACAAGUAGAGUGAUCGAAAGAUGAAAAGCACUUUGAAAAGAGAGUUAAAAAGCACGUGAAAUUGUUGAAAGGGAAGCGCUUGCGACCAGACUCGCCUACGGGGUUCAGCCGGCAUUCGUGCCGGUGUACUUCCCCGUGGGCGGGCCAGCGUCGGUUUGGGCGGCCGGUCAAAGGCUCCCGGAAUGUAACGCCUCUCGGGGCGUCUUAUAGCCGGGGGUGCAAUGCGGCCUGCCUGGACCGAGGAACGC